CCUACGGGAGGCCGCAGUGAGGAAUAUUGGUCAAUGGACGCAAGUCUGAACCAGCCAUGCCGCGUGCAGGAAGACGGCUCUAUGAGUUGUAAACUGCUUUUGUACGGGGGUAAACGCAGAUACGCGUAUCUGUCUGAAAGUAUCGUACGAAUAAGGAUCGGCUAACUCCGUGCCAGCAGCCGCGGGAAUACGGAGGAUUCAAGCGUUAUCCGGAUUUAUUGGGUUUAAAGGGUGCGUAGGCGGUCGGAUAAGUUAGAUGUGAAAUCCCGAGGCUCAACUUCGGAAUUGCCUCUGAUACUGUACGGCUAGAGAGUAGUUGCGGUAGGCGGAAUGUAUGGUGUAGCGGUGAAAUGCUUAGAGAUCAUACAGAACACCGAUUGCGAAGGCAGCUUACCAAGCUACUUCUGACGUUGAGGCACGAAAGCGUGGGGAGCAAACAGGAUUAGAUACCCGGGUAGUC
RNAcentral lists this ribosomal RNA (460 nucleotides) under uncultured bacterium. RNAcentral describes it as "partial 16S ribosomal RNA". It matches the Rfam family "Bacterial small subunit ribosomal RNA", at positions 338 to 795 of the family's 1533-position model. The record is from RNAcentral.